Molecule: ribosomal RNA, 834 nt
Filed under: uncultured crenarchaeote
Lineage: Archaea; Thermoproteati; Thermoproteota
Description: bacterial SSU rRNA
Rfam family: Archaeal small subunit ribosomal RNA
Source: RNAcentral
UGAUACUAAGCCAUGCGAGUCAUUGUAGUAAUACAAGGCAGACGGCUCAGUAACGCGUAGUCAAUCUACCCUAUGGACGGGAAUAACCUCGGGAAACUGAGAAUAAUGCCCGAUAGAACACUAUGCCUGGAAUGGUUUGUGUUCCAAAUGAUUUAUCGCCGUAGGAUGGGACUGCGGCCUAUCAGUUUGUUGGUGAGGUAAUGGCCCAUCAAGACUAUUACAGGUACGGGCUCUGAGAGGAGUAGCCCGGAGAUGGGUACUGAGACACGGACCCAGGCCCUAUGGGGCGCAGCAGGCGAGAAAACUUUGCAAUGUGCGAAAGCACGACAAGGUUAAUCCGAGUGGUUUCUGCUAAAGAAACCUUUUGUCGGUCCUAGAAACACCGAUGAAUAAGGGGUGGGCAAGUUCUGGUGUCAGCCGCCGCGGUAAAACCAGCACCUCAAGUGGUCAGGAUGAUUAUUGGGCCUAAAGCAUCCGUAGCCCGCUUUGUUAGUUUUCGGUUAAAUCUGUGCGCUUAACGUACAGGCUGCCGGAAAUACUGCAAAGCUAGGGAGUGGGAGAGGUAGACGGUACUCGGUAGGAAGGGGUAAAAUCCUUUGAUCUAUUGAUGACCACCUGUGGCGAAGGCGGUCUACCAGAACACGUCCGACGGUGAGGGAUGAAAGCUGGGGGAGCAAACCGGAUUAGAUACCCGGGUAGUCCCAGCUGUAAACUAUGCAAACUCAGUGAUGCAUUGGCUUGUGGCCAAUGCAGUGCUGCAGGGAAGCCGUUAAGUUUGCCGCCUGGGAAGUACGUACGCAAGUAUGAAACUUAAAGGAAUUGGCGGGGGAGCAC